GGCGAGGGGAGUGAAAAAGAACCUGAAACCGUGUACGUACAAGCAGUGGGAGCCUCUUAAUGGGGUGACUGCGUACCUUUUGUAUAAUGGGUCAGCGACUUAUAUUCUGUAGCAAGGUUAACCGAAUAGGGGAGCCGAAGGGAAACCGAGUCUUAACUGGGCGUUAAGUUGCAGGGUAUAGACCCGAAACCCGGUGAUCUAGCCAUGGGCAGGUUGAAGGUUGGGUAACACUAACUGGAGGACCGAACCGACUAAUGUUGAAAAAUUAGCGGAUGACUUGUGGCUGGGGGUGAAAGGCCAAUCAAACCGGGAGAUAGCUGGUUCUCCCCGAAAGCUAUUUAGGUAGCGCCUCGUGAAUUCAUCUCCGGGGGUAGAGCACUGUUUCGGCAAGGGGGUCAUCCCGACUUACCAACCCGAUGCAAACUGCGAAUACCGGAGAAUGUUAUCACGGGAGACACACGGCGGGUGCUAACGUCCGUCGUGAAGAGGGAAACAACCCAGACCGCCAGCUAAGGUCCCAAAGUCAUGGUUAAGUGGGAAACGAUGUGGGAAGGCCCAGACAGCCAGGAUGUUGGCUUAGAAGCAGCCAUCAUUUAAAGAAAGCGUAAUAGCUCACUGGUCGAGUCGGCCUGCGCGGAAGAUGUAACGGGGCUAAACCAUGCACCGAAGCUGCGGCAGCGACACUAUGUGUUGUUGGGUAGGGGAGCG
This 708-nucleotide ribosomal RNA is filed under the name Escherichia coli. RNAcentral describes it as "partial 23S ribosomal RNA". It matches the Rfam family "Bacterial large subunit ribosomal RNA", at positions 528 to 1238 of the family's 2925-position model. The record is from RNAcentral. Lineage: Bacteria; Pseudomonadati; Pseudomonadota; Gammaproteobacteria; Enterobacterales; Enterobacteriaceae.